UGGGGGAUAUUGCACAAUGGGCGAAAGCCUGAUGCAGCGACGCCGCUUGGGGGAUGAAGGCCUUCGGGUUGUAAACUUCUUUUGCUCUGAACAAGGCGCACCAUGGGGUGUGUUGAGUGUAGGGGUUGAUUAGCGCCGGCUAACUACGUUCCAGCAGCCGCGGUAAUACGUAGGGCGCGAGCGUUGUCCGGAAUUAUUGGGCGUAAAGGGCUUGUAGGUGGCUGGUUGCGUCUGUCGUGAAAGCUCAUGGCUUAACUGUGGGUUUGCGGUGGGUACGGGCUGGCUUGAGUGCAGUAGGGGAGGCUGGAAUUCCUGGGGUAGCGGUGGAAUGCGCAGAUAUCAGGAGGAAUACCGGUGGCGAAGGCGGGUCUCUGGGCUGUUACUGACACUGAGGAGCGAAAGCAUGGGGGGCGAACAGG
RNAcentral lists this ribosomal RNA (419 nucleotides) under bacterium. RNAcentral's name for it is "partial 16S ribosomal RNA". It matches the Rfam family "Bacterial small subunit ribosomal RNA", at positions 355 to 776 of the family's 1533-position model. The record is from RNAcentral.